UUUCAAUGCGUGGCAAAUUCUAGCAAUGACUUAAGAUUGAUUCAGGCCUGGAUGGGAGGGAGGGCAGAGGUGGUGGGUGUUGGGAACGCAGACUGCCUGACUGGAAGCUUCCCUUGCCCCUCUUCCUGGAAGCUUCCUGGUAAAUUCCUCCCUCCUGUGCUAUUAGGAAACCUUCAACCAACUACCAUCUCAUCCAAAUGCUAUCAAUUCUUCGAAGUCUCAGUUAAGUUCUGCCUCUUACACAAAGCCUUGUCUCCACACUAGACGCAGCAAAACUGCAGUCUGUUGAAUUUAAAAGAAGUUUAAGAGGAACCUAAAGGUCAUCUGUGUUACCAAACCAAUAGUGUGGACCCCAUUUCCUACCGGCGUCAUCCGGGCUUUACGCAAAUAGGAGACCUUUCCAGUAUAUCUCUUGGUGAGAUAUAUAAAACCAAAUUCCAUAUGGAAAGAAGCUCACCAAGCAGGAUGCACUUGACCUGAGACGGCCGGCCCUUCUGGACCAUGCCCAGGGAUGCUGCAGCCUAGAUCCCACAGAUAUAUUCCUGUUAGCCUUGUUCACAGGUGGUUUGUUCAGCAUUCCCAAAACAGUCUCCAGGACAGAGACUUCCCUGCAGACUGAGACUGGAAAUCCCUUAAUUGUCAUUGGCUGGAACUGCCCCUCUUUCCCAGCUGAAGACUUCUCUUCUAAAACCAAGGCUGUGCCUGUAGUACAAGUGGACUUUCUCCAUUUAGCCUGGUACUUUCAACUGAAUAUAAUGUGGUCCAAUAGAGAUAUCCACCAACUGAGUCCACCACCAUAUCAUUUACCAGCAACUUCACCGUGCACAACGCACAGGAUGCCUUCAUCUUGCCCCCGAAUCUCACGCUGUCCGACCUCCUCAGUGGCCCUGAGCCUGACACGGAUGGACUGCAUCGACCUAGCUCCCUGCUCCCUGGCUUCCAGGGAGGUUCAGCCAAUGGACGCAGUGGCAGAAGAUCAGAGGGCAGAAGAAAAGAGGGCUGGAGGACAGAAUUAAACAUAAUUCACAGCCCCUCAACUUCUCUCGUCGAGACUUUCAGCAUCCAAGCAGUGCUACAGCUUAAUAAGCCAUGAGAAAGGAGAAAACCACGAAGAAGAAGAAAAUUAUAUUGUUUGUUCAAAAACAUCUUGGACAGUAUAAAAUAGAACGUUAGAAACAUUAAUAUCACACUAUGCUUUACUUGCUUUCCUAAUGUCAGAAAAUAAACAUGCUCAAGGGGUCAAUGCAUCCUCAUUCUCAUUUCUUUACCACAUCUAAGGUGAGAAAUUUUAAAGAAGACAGGGAGAAGCCUUUUUUGUCAGAAUCA
This is a long non-coding RNA of Cervus elaphus (red deer), 1326 nucleotides long. RefSeq lists it as uncharacterized. The transcript has 7 exons. NCBI's taxonomy places the organism in Eukaryota, Metazoa, Chordata, Mammalia, Artiodactyla, Cervidae. The record is from RefSeq and is a predicted model, not a curated record.